AAUAGAUACCCGGGUAGUCCACGCCGUAAACGAUGAGUGCUAAGUGUUAGAGGGUUUCCGCCCUUUAGUGCUGCAGCUAACGCAUUAAGCACUCCGCCUGGGGAGUACGGCCGCAAGGCUGAAACUCAAAGGAAUUGACGGGGGCCCGCACAAGCGGUGGAGCAUGUGGUUUAAUUCGAAGCAACGCGAAGAACCUUACCAGGUCUUGACAUCCUCUGCCAACCCUAGAGAUAGGGCGUUCCCCUUCGGGGGACAGAGUGACAGGUGGUGCAUGGUUGUCGUCAGCUCGUGUCGUGAGAUGUUGGGUUAAGUCCCGCAACGAGCGCAACCCUUGAUCUUAGUUGCCAGCAUUCAGUUGGGCACUCUAAGGUGACUGCCGGUGACAAACCGGAGGAAGGUGGGGAUGACGUCAAAUCAUCAUGCCCCUUAUGACCUGGGCUACACACGUGCUACGAAUGGAUGGUACAAAGAGCUGCGAACCCGCGAGGGUAAGCGAAUCUCAUAAAGCCAUUCUCAGUUCGGA
Molecule: ribosomal RNA, 523 nt
Filed under: uncultured bacterium
Lineage: Bacteria
Description: bacterial SSU rRNA
Rfam family: Bacterial small subunit ribosomal RNA
Source: RNAcentral